CGCGCACACACACACACACACACACACACACACACACGCAGACACCCCGAGAUGGUUCCGGGGAUUUUUCGUGCACAUUCUGGUGCUCCAAUUAACCACUGUGAAACAUGUCAGAUGGUGCCAGGAAUUAUGUUUUCUGCAGAAAGGGUGACAUUUGGGUUGUGAGGUGAUUACUGCCUUAUCAGGGAUGGCCAGGGAGACCCUGGGAGUGCCAUCAGAGUAGGAAUGUAUACAUAAGGAAUACCCCACUUGGAGGUCUCAGGAGAAAGCAGGGAGUGUGCAAAGGCCCUGGGGGUAUAUGGACACUCAGAGAGCUAUCAGCAGGCUGGGGAGGCUAGAGUUGGGGAAGAGCAUGGGGCAACAUAUAGGACCUGCAGGUGACCCCAGACUGGACUGUGACCAGACUGAGACAGGCCAAUGGAAGGUAGGGGCAGAGGGAAAUUAUGGGCCUCAGAUGAGACUUCUGAGCUAGGGUUGGGGCUACCUCCUGGCAGCGAGAGGAAGCUGAGAGCAGUGGGAUGACUGAGGUCCCCACCAGAACCUGGGGAGGAGCCAGGAAUGGUCUGGGACGAAUUGCAUUCUAGCUUACAAGCUCCCUGGGGAAGCAUUGCGUAGGAAAGAAACCUUCCCGGAAGACCUCAAGGCCAGCAGGAAACUUCCUGGGGACCAGAGCCAGUGUGCCCUGAGUCAGGAGGUCCAGGAAGCCCUGAAGGGAUCCCCAGGAGGUUGAGAAGCAGGACCAGUGCCCUGGGGUGAGAAAGGAGGAGCCAGAGUGAAGCCUGGGGAAAUCCCUGGUGGUCUCCCUGCCACUGUGGGGCAGCCGUGGGGUGGGGGAUGACAAAAGGAGGCUCUGAGAAAUGGGGACCUUGAGAGGCAGGGAGGAGAACCUUGUGAAGGGCCCUGUCUCCCAGGCAGACAAAGAACAGAAAGGCAGACACGUUUAAUAACACGUACGCCUCUGGCGCGGGGUGCCUGGGCAGGUGUUCUCAUAGACAUGUGGACUACUUUCAGGUUUAAAUACCAUCGUCUAGGAGCAAAGAAAGCAGCUGUGGGGAAGGUGUGUCAGGCAAGAGCCCUGUGGCUGCCUUCCCUUCCUUUCCUGAUAGGAGAGUUCCUCUCUUCCAGGUGCAGUGGGAGAUUCCUUGAUGAUUGUAAAUUUUCUUUACAAAAGGGAAUUCAUUCUUGUUUUCAAGAGCUUUUUUAUGAUGCUUCAAGAGCUUUUUAUGAUGGCUCUUGUUUCUCAAAAUAACUACCUCAAAAUAAUGUAUAUGCCAGAUGCACAUUUGGGGGCAUGUUCUGUCUCCUACAGACGCAUUUAGGGGCACAGUCUCAUGUCCUGCAUGUGAAACAGAGCAGAGAAAUGCGUGAAGAUGGGAUGAUGACAGGAUGAAUCUCCUGUUCCUGGACAGUGAGGAAUCCUAAACACUGAAAUUGACCUCAGGGGCCACAGGGCUUCUCUGAGGACACUCACAGGGGACACCACCCAUCUCUACUAUGCGUCCCAGUGUCAGUCAUGGCAAGGAGAUCCGCAGGAGAAAGAUGGGCUUGGUGGACCCAGCAGCUUCCAAGAGGAGGAUGCUCAGGCUGCAGUGGGGCUCAGGGCUGGCAAGCACCCCACAGGAGGGGCUGUGACUGGGCCAGAGGGCACCUUGGGGUUUCCCAGUAAAUGGGGAGGGAGGAGGGACUUUCUGGGCAAGGAGUGAUUGGGCAGGGUGUAGAGCCGGGCUCUGGAAGACCAUGUUACUGUUGAGCUUCUGGGGCCUAUGGUGACAGGGAAGCAGUCUGCCUGGUUUUAUCACCAGCCAGUUGCUCUUUUGAGUUCAGGUUAAAGCAGGACUCCUCAGGGGUGGGAGGGAGAUGGUAGAAUACCUUAAGCCCCCAGGAGUGCCAGCCCCUAGCCAGCCUGGCUCAGCAGCCAGCACCAAUCUUAAAGGCUGCUCAUAGGUGGACAGAGGAGGCACAGGGAGGGGCAGAACAAUUUGUGUGAGAGAAAGAGGCCCCACUUGUACAUUGUUAUAUCCCAGAUGUCUGGACAAAGCUGAAGAAAUUCUUGCAAUGAAGAUCUGUGAUAUGGGCAUCUGAGGGCACCAGGGUAGGAGAGAGACUUUGGGCUGUAAUGUUUUGGGAUACAUGAUGGUGAGGAGGGAGAGAGCUGAGGAAGAGGCCUUCCUUGAGCUGCAGGUCAAGGAUUGAGAGUCCACAGCAGACAGAGCCCCUCACCUCAGAUAGCCUUGGGUCCCGCUGAGGUCCCAUCAGCAGCAGGAUGACAGGCUUUCCUGCCCAAAUGGUUGCAAAACACUGCAGAAGGGCCCAAGACUCCUUCCUGGGGUGGGAUUGGAGGAGCAGAACAGACUGGGAGCUGGCACGUCUCUGUGCUCCCCUCUUGGCCUGAUGUACCGUGGCCUACCAAGGGUCACAGUGGUGGAGAGGGAGGCCCCUGUUCAGGCCACCAUCCACAACUGGGUCCUGGAGUGUUUCCCUAAGGAUCACCCAUCUACAAAUCCCCAGGAAAUGCUAGGGCUUCUGACUAUAGGCAGCUCUGGCCACAGACUAUUUUGAGAGUGUGAGGUAAGCAAUGGCCUGGAGUGGGCAGCUGGCUAGUGCUCCAUAAAGUGAGAGUGGAGGGAGAGUCACCUCUGCUGAGCAUCUAGAUGCUCUCACACAUACAUUAUGGGGUGUGUGACUUUAUUCCUUGUCUGGAAUACGGUGCUGGUGGGGAAAUAGUCUGGUUAUCAGGAUUCACAUGGGAAAUCAGGAGAAAAUACAUGUUAUAGCAUGAGUCAGGAAUGUACUGCCAAGGUCUCUGGGCUCAUAGGCAGGGUUUUUGCAAGGUUAUUGAAUUAUAGAGGCUUAUAGCUGACUUGCUGUUAGGAGGCAGUCUGGACAGAAGAGGCAAGUCUCUUGGGGCAUGACUUGGAAGGAUGUUUCUCCUUUCUUACCUCCUCCUUUCUCACUCUACUUCCUGGAUGCUAUGAUAGGAGCAACUUUUCUUCUACCAUCCCCCUCUGCCAUGCUGUUUUCUGCCCUAGAGCUAACCAACCAUGGACUAUAACCAUGAGCCAAAGUAAGCCUCUCCUUCAAAUUGAGAAUGUUGAGUAUUUUGUCUCAGUGAUGAGAAAGUAACUAAGACAGAAUUUUGAUACCAGAGAGGUGGGGUUGUUACUGGGGCUAUUCCUGACCAUGUGAUUCAGAAACCUUUGGAAGCGGUUUAUGGAAGAAGUUUGGAAAGGUUUGGAGAUACCUCACAGAGAAACCCUAGAAUGCUGUUAGCCAAGCUAGAUGGGAGAUUCUGGUCAGAACUCAAAAUAUCAGAAUGCUGAUAGAGGUGUAGAUAGUAAAAGCCAGGCUCAAGAGGUUUCAGUUGGGAACAAGGAUUCCAUUUGCAGUUGGAUUUCAAGACCAGUUCAAGACCAUGUGUGUUAUUCUCUGGCAGGAAAUUUGUCAGCAUUUUGUUCCUGCCCUAAGACUUUGCAGGAGGCUAAGAUUAAAGACAGUGGACUAAUUAAUGUGGUAGAGGAAAUUUCAAGGCAGUUCAGCAUUCAGGCUGUAGCAUGUGUACUGUUUGCUACUUUUAGUGAUAACUAUGUGAGAAGUAGAAGCAAAAAGCCAAGUUGAAUACUUCAAAAAGUUUUGCUGGAGGCCAGAAAGGAAAUGCCUAUAAAGCUGGGGCCUGUAAAAUUGGGGCCUAUGAAAUUUUGCCCCAGCAUAGGUUGGCUGCUGAAAAAUUAGCAUUAAAACAAAUCUAAGUACUUAUAAAUCAGGACAAUAGAAAAGAUGCCUUGAGGGCAUGUAAGGAAUCAGCAAGAUACCACCCUUCCCAGGCUCAUGAGUCUAAAAAUUAAGAAGAAAACCCCAGGGCACUUUGCUUGUGACUGGUCCCCCAGAAUUUGUUUCACAGUGCUCAGCAAUCCAGGCAGUCAGAAGCCUCUGUGACCAUGAUCCAAGGGGGCCUACUUCUCAAGCUGGUGGCACUUUGGUAUCAUCCACGUGAUGCUGGUUUUACAGGCAUGCAGAAUGCAAGGGUUGUGGAGUAAGGGAGGCUUCCAUUUGGAUUUCAGAAGAAGGCCUGGGAGGCCAGGCAGUGUCUUCCUGAGAGUGUGGUGCAUGAAGCUAUGAAAGUGAAGCCAAAAUGCAAGGAAGUUGGAGAAGCCAGGAAUGUGGAACAUGUGGGCUCACAGUGAAAAGUCUGCCUUGUGUCUCAGAAGAGACUUUGGACUUGGACAUCUCAGCAAUACUGUUAACAGUUUGGCAACUCUUGGAGAUGGACUACAUACAUUUUGCAUAAAGAGAUGCUUGUGGGGCUUGUGGAAGGUGAUUGGAUCAUGGAGGUGCUGUACUAUCAGUGGCAUUAUCCACUGGGGACCCAAGCAACUGAGUAUGCAUUGGAAGGUGGGGCCUAGCCAAAAGAGGCAAGUCAUGGGGAGGGGUAUGUCUCUCUCCCUGGCUCCUUCCUUCUCCUUCUGCUUCCUGGCUGCCAUGACAUGAGCAGCUUUCCUCUGCUGUGUCCA
Chinchilla lanigera (long-tailed chinchilla) is the source of this 4508-nucleotide long non-coding RNA. RefSeq lists it as uncharacterized. The record is from RefSeq and is a predicted model, not a curated record. NCBI's taxonomy places the organism in Eukaryota, Metazoa, Chordata, Mammalia, Rodentia, Chinchillidae. The transcript has 3 exons.